This is a long non-coding RNA of Dromaius novaehollandiae (emu), 482 nucleotides long. RefSeq lists it as uncharacterized. The record is from RefSeq and is a predicted model, not a curated record. The transcript has 3 exons. Lineage: Eukaryota; Metazoa; Chordata; Aves; Casuariiformes; Dromaiidae.
GUCAGCCCAAGUUGCCACAUGAGCGAAUCUGAGUGCUUGAGAACACCAAGCAAAAUCUCUGCAGAAGCUACCGAGCAGGUGCAUGAAGAAGUCUGAGAUGUGUUUCAGUAUCACUGAGUCCUGUAGAGAACCAUCACUCAGUCCUGUAGAGAACCGGUCCUAAAUGCGGUUUUGUCUCGACAUUGCUGCUGCUGCUGCAGAGCUGCCACUGCCAAGGCGUGUCGGGCAAUGCCGCACCGGUGCCCCCGGGGAGCCGUCCACAAGGAGACCGCCAGAUGACCCCAGCCUGUUUCUGGAAGGUUCCGGGAGGGCGGAGUACGCAUGACAGCUAAUCUGCAUGGGAAGUGAGGAAGCAUCUCCCAGAGGCGGGGCAGGAACCUAUAAAAAACUGCAGACUGUGCGACUGCCCCCCCCGGGGGAGGGGCUUGUUUGCGACAUCUGAAGAUCUGGAGUGGAGUCAACGGAACAUCAUCGGACUUGGA